Molecule: ribosomal RNA, 406 nt
Filed under: uncultured bacterium
Lineage: Bacteria
Description: partial 16S ribosomal RNA
Rfam family: Bacterial small subunit ribosomal RNA
Source: RNAcentral
AUUGAACGCUGGUGGCAGGCCUAACACAUGCAAGUCGAGCGAGCGGCGGACGGGUGAGUAAUGUAUGGGGAUCUGCCCGAUAGAGGGGGAUAACUACUGGAAACGGUAGCUAAUACCGCAUACCAUCAGAUGUGCCCAGAGGGGAUUAGCUAGUGGGUGGGGUAUUGGCUCACCUAGGCGACGAUCCCUAGCUGGUCUGAGAGGAGGAUCAGCCACACUGGGACUGAGACACGGCCCAGACUCCUACGGGAGGCAGCAGUGGGGAAUAUUGCACAAUGGGCGCAAGCCUGAUGCAGCCAUGCCGCGUGUAUGAAGAAGGCCUUCGGGUUGUAAAGUACUUUCAGUCGGGAAGCGUUACUCGCAGAAGAAGCACCGGCUAACUCCGUGCCAGCAGCCGCGGUAAUAC